CUUAAUGGGAUUUCCGUCCGUCCGUCCGCCAAAGAACGGCGCCUCUGUGUGGGGCUGGGAGGGCAGCCAAUGGGGCGGACGGACCCACCGACCCCAAAGAAUGGCCCCUAUUGAGGGGCGGACGGACCCCAAACAGUGACCCCAUUGUGGGGUGGGACAGACAGACAGAUGGACCCCAAACAGUGACCCCAUUGUGGGACAGACGGACGGACCCCAAACAGUGACCCCAUUGUGGGACAGACGGACCCCAAACAGUGACCCCAUUGAGGGAUGGACAGACGGACGGACCCCAAACAGUGACCCCAUUGUGGGACAGACGGACGGACCCCAAACAGUGACCCCAUUGUGGGACAGACAGAUGGACCCCAAAGAAUGACCCCAUUGUGGGGCGGACGGACCCCAAUCAAUGACCCCAAAGAAUGACCCCAUUGAGGGAUGGACAGACGGACGGGCCCCAAACAGUGACCCCAUUGAGGGACGGACGGACCCCAAACAGUGACCCCAAAGAAUG
Molecule: long non-coding RNA, 511 nt
Filed under: Gallus gallus (chicken)
Lineage: Eukaryota; Metazoa; Chordata; Aves; Galliformes; Phasianidae
Source: RNAcentral